Molecule: ribosomal RNA, 633 nt
Rfam family: 5.8S ribosomal RNA (bases 251-404)
AGGAUCAUUAUUGAAAUAAACCUGAUAAGUUGCUGCUGGUUCUCUAGGGAGCAUGUGCACACUUGUCAUCUUUGUAUCUUCACCUGUGCACCUUUUGUAGACCAGAUUAUCUCUCUGAGUGCUUUACAGCUCUUGGGAUUGAGAAUUGGCUUCUUGUCUUUUCUUAUAUUUUCAGGUCUAUGUUUUUCAUAUACCCUAAUGUAUGUUUAUAGAAUGUAAUUGAUGGGCCUUUGUGCCUAUAAACCUUUACAACUUUCAGCAACGGAUCUCUUGGCUCUCGCAUCGAUGAAGAACGCAGCGAAAUGCGAUAAGUAAUGUGAAUUGCAGAAUUCAGUGAAUCAUCGAAUCUUUGAACGCACCUUGCGCUCCUUGGUAUUCCGAGGAGCAUGCCUGUUUGAGUGUCAUUAAUAUUAUCAACCUCUUUGGUUGGAUUUGGGGGUUUGCUGGCCUUUUGAAGGUCAGCUCUCCUUAAAUGCAUUAGCGGACAACAUAUUUGCCAACCGUUUAUUGGUGUGAUAAUUAUCUACGCUAUUAACGUGAAGCAAGGUUCAGCUUCUAAUAGUCCAUUGACUUGGACARCUCUUCUUUUAUUAAUGUGACCUCAAAUCAGGUAGGACUACCCGCUGAACUUAA